AUCGAUUAUGAAGGCAAAUCAUCCUACCCAAAGGGGAGGAAAGUCUCUUUGAAAGCAUUUCUCCUAGCCUGCUCAGAGAAGAUGCUCAUUUUCCAGUAGGCCAAGACCUAAAGGUGGUUCUGGAAUUAUUCGAUAUUCGGUGGCAGGUAAAAAAUGCCACCCAUAUCAUCAAAUACUGUGAUAGACCGAUGACACCAAUGGCUCCAAUCUGUUAUCCCUCUCUGGAUCCUCAGGCAGCUUUACCUAUCAAAAGGUAGAAUAUCUAUCCCCACUCUUUGACUCUCAGUUUCCAACUUGCUUUGACCAGUGGGCAGGUUCGACAGAAGCCAAAGCUUAAAAGGAAGCAUUCUAGUGUUUCUACUUUUGCUCAUCUGUGAUUGCUGCGUGAACAUGCCCAAGCUAUCCCACUGGAGGAUGAGAAACACAUGGCCCAGUGACCCUGCCCCACUCAACAGCCAAUCAACUGCCAGACUCAUUUGAAGCCAGAAGAACCUCCCAGCUGAGUCCAUCCUAAUUCAGUCAACCCUGGCGACUAUCAGGCAUACUAAUGGGCCCAACCAAGACCAGAAGAACUUCCUAGACAGGCCAACCUAAACUGCCCUCCUGAGACCAUGGCCUUAGUAAAUACUCAUUGCUUUCA
This is a long non-coding RNA of Symphalangus syndactylus (siamang), 640 nucleotides long. RefSeq lists it as uncharacterized. Lineage: Eukaryota; Metazoa; Chordata; Mammalia; Primates; Hylobatidae. The record is from RefSeq and is a predicted model, not a curated record.